GACGAACGCUGGCGGCGUGCCUAAUACAUGCAAGUCGAACGCGUCUACGUUAAUGAAAUCAAUGUGCUUGCACGGCGAUGGAUUUAACAUUAGACGAGUGGCGAACUGGUGAGUAACACGUGGGUAACCUGCCCUCAAGCAGGGGAUAACACUUGGAAACAGGUGCUAAUACCGUAUAACAACAAAAACCGCAUGGUUUUUGUUUGAAAGAUGGUUUCGGCUAUCACUUGAGGAUGGACCCGCGGCGUAUUAGCUAGUUGGUGAGGUAAUGGCUCACCAAGGCAAUGAUACGUAGCCGACCUGAGAGGGUAAUCGGCCACAUUGGGACUGAGACACGGCCCAAACCCCUACGGGAAGCAGCAGUAAGGAAUCUUCCGCAAUGGGCGAAAGCCUGACGGAGCACUAUCGCGUGGAGGAAGACGGCUCGUGAGUUGUAAACUCCUUUUGUCAGAGAAGAAAACUGACGGUAUCUGACGAAUAAGCAUCGGCUAAACUCUGUGCCAGCAGCCGCAGUAAUAC
This 519-nucleotide ribosomal RNA is filed under the name uncultured bacterium. RNAcentral describes it as "bacterial SSU rRNA". It matches the Rfam family "Bacterial small subunit ribosomal RNA", at positions 28 to 526 of the family's 1533-position model. The record is from RNAcentral.